GAGUUUGAUCCUGGCUCAGAUUGAACGCUGGCGGCAUGCCUUACACAUGCAAGUCGAACGGCAGCACGGGAGCUUGCUCCUGGUGGGCGAGUGGCGAACGGGUGAGUAAUGCAUCGGAACGUAUCCUGGAGUGGGGGAUAACGUAGCGAAAGUUACGCUAAUACCGCAUAUUCUGUGAGCAGGAAAGCGGGGGACCUUCGGGCCUCGCGCUCUUGGAGCGGCCGAUGUCGGAUUAGCUAGUUGGUGAGGUAAAGGCUCACCAAGGCGACGAUCCGUAGCAGGUCUGAGAGGAUGAUCUGCCACACUGGAACUGAGACACGGUCCAGACUCCUACGGGAGGCAGCAGUGGGGAAUUUUGGACAAUGGGGGCAACCCUGAGUCCAGCCAUGCCGCGUGAGUGAAGAGGCCU
This 409-nucleotide ribosomal RNA is filed under the name bacterium enrichment culture clone ALO1_GLFRUDD03HE7MI. RNAcentral's name for it is "bacterial SSU rRNA". It matches the Rfam family "Bacterial small subunit ribosomal RNA", at positions 9 to 416 of the family's 1533-position model. The record is from RNAcentral.